UGUGCAGAUACAGAAAUAGUUCGCCC
This 26-nucleotide non-coding RNA is filed under the name Rattus norvegicus (Norway rat). The record is from RNAcentral. Lineage: Eukaryota; Metazoa; Chordata; Mammalia; Rodentia; Muridae.